UACGGGGGGGGCAAGCGUUGUUCGGAAUUGCUGGGCGUAAAGGGCUCGUAGGCGGCCAACUAAGUCAGACGUGAAAUCCCUCGGCUUAACCGGGGAACUGCGUCUGAUACUGGAUGGCUCGAGUGUGGGAGAGGGAUGCGGAAUUCCCGGUGUAGCGGUGAAAUGUGUAGAGAUCGGGAGGAACACCGGUGGCGAAGGCGGGUCUCUGGGCAUCUCCUGACGCUGAGGCGCGAAAGCGUGGGGAGCAAACGGG
RNAcentral lists this ribosomal RNA (253 nucleotides) under uncultured prokaryote. RNAcentral's name for it is "partial 16S ribosomal RNA". It matches the Rfam family "Bacterial small subunit ribosomal RNA", at positions 524 to 776 of the family's 1533-position model. The record is from RNAcentral.